AAUUUAGUAAAACGUGUGCAUGAUUUAGUAAAAGGAGCGCACAUUCUCUCGAUACAAAAAAAUAUCUUGCAAUGACACCUCCUGGGCUCCGUACACACUUCAUCACUUACUAUCUUUAGUAUCAGGACUGAACUGAACAUACUGAAAGGUUCUCCUUCACUUGUGAUCAGACCCCUGGGUGGUGUUGAAUCUGUAUAUCAAAAUUACAAUAUGUGUCAGUUCAGUAGCAGUGCUUUAAGCUCGAGUGGAAAAACAAAUACAGUAAGUUAUUGUUAAAUAGUAAAUAUCCAUAUUGUUUCACAUUUCAUAUUCAUCUAAACACUGGUAAAUAUUAUUAAAAUGCUUAAAUAGUUAAGCCUUCCAUACUGGUGUUUUAAUACCAUAACUAUACUUGACAGUUAAGGGUAAAUACACUAGGCCUACUCACAAAAAGUUAGGGAUAUCUGGCUUUCGGGUGAAAUUUAAGGUUUCAGUUCUGCAACAUUGAACUGUUGGACAUACACAUUCCAAAGUUUAGAGAAGGUCACAUUAAGUUCACCUAUAAAGGUUAUAGUGGAUUUUAGGUUCAUCCUGAAAUUUCACCCGAAAGACUUUUUGUGAGUAGUGUAUAGGUACAUUUCUAUAAAUGAAUAUAGUACAUUUCUUUCUUCAUUUAUCCGUCCACAGAUUUGUAUUCUAUUCCAUUGAGAUUUGUAUUAAGCUACACAAUGUUCACCAAUCGUGGUCUGGUUAUAUUAAUUAUACUGACGGACUGACCUGUCCUUCCAUAACAAACUGCUCAAUAUCUGUCAGAUCAUAGUAUGUCCAUCAUUAUUAAAGGUUAUAUUAAAAAUGCAUACAAGGUUUGAAAUCUGCCUGUAAUAUCUGAGUCUUAAUGAUCUUGUACACGGUCACAGGUUUCGUCUUGCUUCAUUUCACCUCAAUUCAUCAUGAACAUUUCAACAUCUUUCAGCAUUUUGCUUAUAUAUUUUUUUUCAUUUGUUUAGGUAUUUAUUGAUAAGUCAGGGAGUCUCGCUGUCUUCUUUGAAAGUAUUCUCCUCUUAUUGGUGCUAACAAAGCAUUAUCCUCUGUUUUUUGAGGGUACUUGUCACCUGAAUUACCAUGUUACAUACACCUACUUGAAUGGAAUGUAAAAAUCCAUGUUGUGCAUUUUGUUAACUGUAAUAAAUACAUAUAUCACAUUGCA
Molecule: long non-coding RNA, 1186 nt
Organism: Alosa sapidissima (American shad)
Lineage: Eukaryota; Metazoa; Chordata; Actinopteri; Clupeiformes; Clupeidae
Exons: 2
Source: RefSeq, a predicted model, not a curated record